Molecule: ribosomal RNA, 429 nt
Filed under: bacterium
Lineage: Bacteria
Description: partial 16S ribosomal RNA
Rfam family: Bacterial small subunit ribosomal RNA
Source: RNAcentral
UGGGGAAUUUUGGACAAUGGGGGCAACCCUGAUCCAGCAAUGCCGCGUGUGUGAAGAAGGCCUUCGGGUUGUAAAGCACUUUUGUCCGGGAAGAAAUCGCACCUGAUAAUACCGGGUGUGGAUGACGGUACCGGAAGAAUAAGGACCGGCUAACUACGUGCCAGCAGCCGCGGUAAUACGUAGGUUCCAAGCGUUAAUCGGAAUUACUGGGCGUAAAGCGUGCGCAGGCGGUUGUGCAAGACCGAUGUGAAAUCCCCGGGCUUAACCUGGGAAUUGCAUUGGUGACUGCACGGCUAGAGUGUGUCAGAGGGGGGUAGAAUUCCACGUGUAGCAGUGAAAUGCGUAGAGAUGUGGAGGAAUACCGAUGGCGAAGGCAGCCCCCUGGGAUAACACUGACGCUCAUGCACGAAAGCGUGGGGAGCAAACAGG